Molecule: ribosomal RNA, 465 nt
Filed under: Vreelandella stevensii
Lineage: Bacteria; Pseudomonadati; Pseudomonadota; Gammaproteobacteria; Oceanospirillales; Halomonadaceae
Description: partial 16S ribosomal RNA
Rfam family: Bacterial small subunit ribosomal RNA
Source: RNAcentral
CCUACGGGAGGCAGCAGUGGGGAAUAUUGGACAAUGGGCGAAAGCCUGAUCCAGCCAUGCCGCGUGUGUGAAGAAGGCCUUCGGGUUGUAAAGCACUUUCAGUGGGGAAGAAAGCCUUGGGGCUAAUACCCUCGAGGAAGGACAUCACCCACAGAAGAAGCACCGGCUAACUCCGUGCCAGCAGCCGCGGUAAUACGGAGGGUGCGAGCGUUAAUCGGAAUUACUGGGCGUAAAGCGCGCGUAGGCGGUCUGAUAAGCCGGUUGUGAAAGCCCCGGGCUCAACCUGGGAACGGCAUCCGGAACUGUCAGGCUAGAGUGCAGGAGAGGAAGGUAGAAUUCCCGGUGUAGCGGUGAAAUGCGUAGAGAUCGGGAGGAAUACCUGUGGCGAAGGCGGCCUUCUGGACUGACACUGACGCUGAGGUGCGAAAGCGUGGGUAGCAAACAGGAUUAGAUACCCGAGUAGUC